RNAcentral lists this ribosomal RNA (773 nucleotides) under uncultured Neocallimastigales. RNAcentral's name for it is "partial large subunit ribosomal RNA". It matches the Rfam family "Eukaryotic large subunit ribosomal RNA", at positions 23 to 634 of the family's 3401-position model. The record is from RNAcentral. Lineage: Eukaryota; Fungi; Neocallimastigomycota; Neocallimastigomycetes; Neocallimastigales.
AGAGAGAGACAUGCGCGCAUAUCAAUAAGCGGAGGAAAAGAAACUAACAAGGAUUCCCCUAGUAACGGCGAGUGAAGCGGGAAGAGCUCAAAUUUGAAAUCUUAAAGGGUUUCCCUUUACGAAUUGUAGUUUAAAGAAGUGUUUUCUGUUGAGGUUUUGGUAAAAGUUCUUUGGAAUAGGACAUCAUAGAGGGUGAGAAUCCCGUAUUUGACCUUUACUUUCAACUUUGUGAUACACUUUCAAAGAGUCGGAUUGUUUGGGAAUGCAGUCCAAAAUGGGUGGUAAAUUUCAUCUAAAGCUAAAUAUUGGCGAGAGACCGAUAGCGAACAAGUACCGUGAGGGAAAGAUGAAAAGAACUUUGAAAAGAGAGUUAAACAGUACGUGAAAUUGUCAAAAGGGAAGCGUUUGACACCAGUGUUGUUUUUCUGAAAAUCAAUUAAAGAACUGUUUAUGCUAAGCUGUUUAGACUUUAUCAGCUAUCUGUUUAGUUUUGAGCUUUUCUUUAAUGCACUUUUCAGUUAACAAGUCAACAUCAAUUUCUUUUGCUGUAAAAAAGCUUGAGGAAGGUGGCUUGAGAUUCGUCUUAAGUGUUUAUAGCCUCUUGCCUAUGCAGUCGGAGAGAUUGAGGUCUGCAGCGUAGAUCCUUCGGGGCUAAAUGCAUUUGUGCUAAGUUAUAGCAUUUUAUAGACAACUUGUUGACUAUGAUUUGUCUUGUAGCUUACUCGCUUAUGUUAUUUUACCUACGCUUAGGAUGUUGACGCAUGAAUAUACGC